CCUACGGGGGGCUGCAGUUGGGAAUUUUGGGCAAUGGGGGCAACCCUGACCCAGCAACGCCGCGUGAGCGAUGAAGGCCUUCGGGUCGUAAAGCUCUGUCGGGAGGGAAGAAGGCUCUCGGAGUGAAUAAUUCCGGGGGAUUGACGGUACCUCCAAAGGAAGCGCCGGCUAACUCCGUGCCAGCAGCCGCGGUAAUACGGAGGGCGCAAGCGUUGUUCGGAAUCACUGGGCGUAAAGCGCGUGUAGGCGGCUUGGUAAGUCGGGUGUGAAAGCCCGGGGCCUAACCCCGGAACUGCACUCGAAACUGCCUCGCUCGAGUCCCGGAGAGGAUGGUGGAAUUCCCGGUGUAGUGGUGAAAUACGUAGAUAUCGGGAGGAACACCAGCGGCGAAGGCGGCCAUCUGGACGGUGACUGACGCUGAGACGCGAAAGCGUGGGGAGCAAACAGGAUUAGAUACCCGAGUAGUC
This 467-nucleotide ribosomal RNA is filed under the name uncultured bacterium. Its description in RNAcentral is "bacterial SSU rRNA". It matches the Rfam family "Bacterial small subunit ribosomal RNA", at positions 338 to 795 of the family's 1533-position model. The record is from RNAcentral.